RNAcentral lists this long non-coding RNA (300 nucleotides) under Medicago truncatula (barrel medic). RNAcentral describes it as "long non-coding RNA (MTRU_LNC006330)". Lineage: Eukaryota; Viridiplantae; Streptophyta; Magnoliopsida; Fabales; Fabaceae. The record is from RNAcentral.
UUCAAGUUUCAAUGCAACAUUAAUUAUUGAUUUAUCAAUAAUACCCUUACCUAUUUAUUGUAGAGAGAGAAAUAAUAGAAUGAAAUAAUAAAUUAUGGGUAAGGGUAUUAUAGAAAGAGGAGUGAUAUUUGUACAACCAAUUUUGUACAACAUUUGUGACAACCACUUUUUCUUUAUUCUUAUUGGACAAAAACAAUAGAGAGAGAAAGAGAAAGAGGGAUAAUAAAAAAAACAUGUGAGUAUGAGAGAGAGGGUUGUUUCAAAAGUUGUCAAAAAGUGGUUGUACAAAUAUCAUUUCUC